UACAGAGGUGGCAAGCGUUGUUCGGAAUUACUGGGCGUAAAGGGCGCGUAGGCGGCCUUGUAAGUCCUGUGUGAAAUCCCCCGGCUCAACUGGGGAACUGCACAGGAGACUGCUUGGCUUGAGUUCGGGAGAGGGAAGCGGAAUUCCGGGUGUAGCGGUGAAAUGCGUAGAUAUCUGGAGGAACACCGGUGGCGAAGGCGGCAUCCUGGACCGAGAUUGACGCUGAGGCGCGAAAGCUAGGGUAGCAAACGGG
Molecule: ribosomal RNA, 253 nt
Filed under: uncultured bacterium
Lineage: Bacteria
Description: partial 16S ribosomal RNA
Rfam family: Bacterial small subunit ribosomal RNA
Source: RNAcentral